RNAcentral lists this long non-coding RNA (431 nucleotides) under Oncorhynchus mykiss (rainbow trout). RNAcentral describes it as "lncRNA (ENSOMYG00000068357.1)". Lineage: Eukaryota; Metazoa; Chordata; Actinopteri; Salmoniformes; Salmonidae. The record is from RNAcentral.
CUUGUAGGCACUCUCAGCUUGUAGGCACUCAGUUUGUAGGUACUCUCAGCUUGUAGGCACUCUCAGCCUGUAGGCACUCUCAGCUUGUAGGCACUCUCAGCUUGUAGGCACUCUCAGCUUGUUGGUACUCUCAGCUUGUAGGCACUCUCAGCUUGUAGGUACUUGAAGGUACUCUCAGCUUGUAGGUACUCUCAGCUUGUAGGUACUCUAAGCUUGUAGGCAUUCCCAGUUUGUAGGUACUCAGCUUGUAGGUACUCUCAGCUUGUAGGUACUCUCAGCUUGUAGGCACUCUCAGCUUGUAGGUACUCUCAGCUUGUAGGUACUCUCAGCUUGUAGGCACUCAGUUUGUAGGGGCACUCAGUUUGUAGGUACUCUCAGCUUGUAGGCACUCUCAGCUUGUAGGUACUCUCAGCUUGUAGGCACUCUCAGCC